GACGAACGCUGGCGGCGUGCGUAACACAUGCAAGUCGAACGGUAAGGCCCUUCGGGGUACACGAGUGGCGAACGGGUGAGUAACACGUGGGUGAUCUGCCCUGCACUUCGGGAUAAGCCUGGGAAACUGGGUCUAAUACCGGAUAGGACCCUGGGAUGCAUGUCCUGGGGUGGAAAGCUUUUGCGGUGUGGGAUGGGCCCGCGGCCUAUCAGCUUGUUGGUGGGGUGAUGGCCUACCAAGGCGACGACGGGUAGCCGGCCUGAGAGGGUGACCGGCCACACUGGGACUGAGAUACGGCCCAGACUCCUACGGGUGGCAGCAGUGGGGAAUAUUGCACAAUGGGCGCAAGCCUGAUGCAGCGACGCCGCGUGAGGGAUGACGGCCUUCGGGUUGUAAACCUCUUUCAGCACCGACGAAGCGCAAGUGACGAUAGGUGCAGAAGAAGGACCGGCCAACUACGUGCCAGCCGCCGCGGUAA
This 478-nucleotide ribosomal RNA is filed under the name uncultured bacterium. RNAcentral's name for it is "partial 16S ribosomal RNA". It matches the Rfam family "Bacterial small subunit ribosomal RNA", at positions 28 to 523 of the family's 1533-position model. The record is from RNAcentral.